CACCAUUUUAAUAGAAUGUCCUAAAGGUCAUGGCUACUAUACUAUUAUGAGUAUUGGAGCCCUCGUACUCAUAAGUUGUUUUCAAUGAUGGAGUUUCCGAAUCGACGAUUCACUCCGUUAAAUAUGAUCUAGAGUAUUUGAAACUUCUAGUAAAUAAAUUUUGUAAAUUUUCGAAAUCAUAAUAAAGUCCAUCAAGUGGGCAUAAAAUGAACGGUCAAAAUCGAACGACGUCCUAAAAAAGGAUGAUCGGAUCCUUUAAUUCAAGAUCGGAGUUAUUGAUCUUUAUCUAUGCAGUGAAUAGAAUUUUCUAUCAAAAAUUCAACAAAUUCCGAUUCUUUUACACCGUUAAACUAGCAAGUAUCCCAUACCGGCCGUUAAAAAUUGUCAAAUUUGUGACCUCUUAAUCGUAAGAUAAAUGAUGUCGAAAAUUCAUAAAAUUUGAUUUCUAGAAGUUUUAAAUGUCAUAAAUAACGUUUAACGGUGUGGAUCGUCGAUUCGGAAGUUAUAUCAUCGAAAACAACUUAUGAGUACGAGGGCGAUCGUACUCAUAAUAGUAUAGUAGGCGGACCCUGUCCUAAAUAUCGAAUUUACUCAAAACAAU
Molecule: long non-coding RNA, 601 nt
Filed under: Ananas comosus (pineapple)
Lineage: Eukaryota; Viridiplantae; Streptophyta; Magnoliopsida; Poales; Bromeliaceae
Description: long non-coding RNA (ACOM_LNC022633)
Source: RNAcentral